UUGAACGAUCUGGUAAGUCGGAAUCUUUUACCACUGCCUGAUCUUAGAACAGCAAAACCAAGUGACCCAUCAAGCCCUCAAGUUAAGGCUUCAUCUAAUUCAGUCUAUGCAUGCUCAACUCUGCAGUCACGUAGAGAGCCGAAGCGAUUCAAGCGACGCAAACGCCCUCAAAACCAAGAUGCAACCCGGCAGCAGCGCGCUCCAGAGUGCAAUACACAUAAACAAAGCAAGUCUCCCAAGGAGCAAAAGGCAGCUAAACAGCAGAACCAUCCAUCAGGAGACCUCAGUUUAAAUGGGUAUGGAUCAAGUGUGUAUGGACCAUAUGGCACGCGGGGUACCUCUCUAAAGCGGCCACGUGGUAACUAGGUAAUCGUCAGGUGAAUGAGCUCAGUAGAUGUCGCUUCUCUGCAGUCUAACGUCCAAUGAUAGUCGAAACUUUGACGCUCGGUUAUACUCGAGAUGUCUAGACACGGUUCAGAGAAUGGAACUCAGCUGCUUCUGGAGAUGAAACAAGCAUCUUCCAAAUCCAUCCAUUAUAGUUUGCUUUCAGCUACAGAUGUAAGUAUAAUACACCAGGCUCGAUUCUCGCCUGCCCGAGUACUCGAUACAAUCAGGUUCUUUCAGGAAUAUCGUUCUCGGUUUCAGCUCAUUAGAGUAUGAUAUCAUUAUCAAUGAGAGGAUAUGCUUGCUUCAAGUUACAAUUGAGCUCCAAUUUUGAUAUGUAAUAUGAAAUUUUACGUUAGAAAACGAUAUCGAGACUUCUUUCUCUUAUUGCUA
Cucurbita pepo subsp. pepo (vegetable marrow) is the source of this 777-nucleotide non-coding RNA. NCBI's taxonomy places the organism in Eukaryota, Viridiplantae, Streptophyta, Magnoliopsida, Cucurbitales, Cucurbitaceae. The record is from RefSeq and is a predicted model, not a curated record.